GACGAACGCUGGCGGCGUGCUUAACACAUGCAAGUCGAGCGGUAAGGCCCUUUCGGGGGUACACGAGCGGCGAACGGGUGAGUAACACGUGGGUGACCUGCCCUUAGCUCUGGGAUAAGCCUGGGAAACUGGGUCUAAUACCGGAUAUGACUCCAUAACGCAUGUUGUGGGGUGGAAAGCCUUGUGCGGCUAGGGAUGGGCCCGCGGCCUAUCAGCUUGUUGGUGGGGUGAUGGCCUACCAAGGCGACGACGGGUAGCCGGCCUGAGAGGGCGACCGGCCACACUGGGACUGAGACACGGCCCAGACUCCUACGGGAGGCAGCAGUGGGGAAUCUUGCGCAAUGGGCGAAAGCCUGACGCAGCGACGCCGCGUGGGGAG
This 379-nucleotide ribosomal RNA is filed under the name uncultured bacterium. Its description in RNAcentral is "bacterial SSU rRNA". It matches the Rfam family "Bacterial small subunit ribosomal RNA", at positions 28 to 408 of the family's 1533-position model. The record is from RNAcentral.